This 485-nucleotide ribosomal RNA is filed under the name Abiotrophia defectiva. RNAcentral describes it as "bacterial SSU rRNA". It matches the Rfam family "Bacterial small subunit ribosomal RNA", at positions 28 to 492 of the family's 1533-position model. Lineage: Bacteria; Bacillati; Bacillota; Bacilli; Lactobacillales; Aerococcaceae. The record is from RNAcentral.
GACGAACGCUGGCGGCGUGCCUAAUACAUGCAAGUCGAACGAACCGCGACUGAGUGCUUGCACUAAGUCAAGGUGAGUGGCGAACGGGUGAGUAACACGUGGGUAACCUACCUCAUAGUGGGGGAUAACAGUCGGAAACGACUGCUAAUACCGCAUAGGACAUAGGAUCACAUGAUCCAGUGAGGAAAGGUGGCGCAAGCUAUCGCUAAGAGAUGGACCCGCGGUGCAUUAGCUAGUUGGUAGGGUAAAGGCCUACCAAGGCGAUGAUGCAUAGCCGACCUGAGAGGGUGAUCGGCCACAUUGGGACUGAGACACGGCCCAAACUCCUACGGGAGGCAGCAGUAGGGAAUCUUCCGCAAUGGACGCAAGUCUGACGGAGCAACGCCGCGUGAGUGAAGAAGGUCUUCGGAUCGUAAAGCUCUGUUGUUAGAGAAGAACAGCGCAUAGAGUAACUGUUAUGCGUGAGACGGAUCUAACCAGAAGCC